CAGGAGCGGACGGCCGCAAAAUGGGGAACAAAAGACGACGCGGCCGGCGAGCGAUGCUCACGCGGGCCCGCGCUUUGCUCCGAGGCGGAGCCUGGUGACAACGUACCUCCGGGGACAGAACGCAUCGGGACCUUGUCGCGGAGACACGUGCGCCGGGUGUGUCGAGGCUCUCGAAGCGAGUGACGCAACGGCCGGAGAGCGACGAGCUUUCGGGACUCGCUAAAAGGUCACAUCCGACGCCGCCGUCAACUCGCCGGCUGCUUUCUUCUCACCGUCGAGAUGAAAUCCUGGAAUGAUGACAUCAAAUCAGGCUCGGAGGAGGAACUCGUCGUCCUCCUCCUCCUCCUCCUCGCCCCAUAAAGUUGCACCGCCGUCUGGAGCAUUUUCCAUUGCGUCCGUUUUCGAUGAAGGAUCCUUUUCGGGGUUUGGCAAACGGUACGGGAGUUUAAAAAAAAAAAUGAGUGAAUGAAAUGAUGAAAUGA
This is a long non-coding RNA of Hippocampus zosterae (dwarf seahorse), 482 nucleotides long. RefSeq lists it as uncharacterized. NCBI's taxonomy places the organism in Eukaryota, Metazoa, Chordata, Actinopteri, Syngnathiformes, Syngnathidae. The transcript is spliced from 2 exons. The record is from RefSeq and is a predicted model, not a curated record.